Molecule: ribosomal RNA, 253 nt
Filed under: uncultured Eubacteriales bacterium
Lineage: Bacteria; Bacillati; Bacillota; Clostridia; Eubacteriales
Description: uncultured Clostridiales bacterium partial 16S ribosomal RNA
Rfam family: Bacterial small subunit ribosomal RNA
Source: RNAcentral
UACGUAGGGGGCAAGCGUUGUCCGGAAUGACUGGGCGUAAAGGGAGUGUAGGCGGCUUUUUAAGUUAUGUGUGAAAGCCCGCGGCUCAACCGCGGAACUGCACAUAAAACUGGAGAGCUGGAGUGCAGGAGAGGUAAGUGGAAUUCCCGGUGUAGCGGUGGAAUGCGUAGAUAUUAGGAGGAACACCAGUGGCGAAGGCGGCUUACUGGACUGUAACUGACGUUGAGGCUCGAAAGCGUGGGGAGCAAACAGG